GAUGAACGCUGGCGGCGUGCCUAAUACAUGCAAGUCGAGCGAAGCGGGGACGGGUGAGUAACACGUGGAUAACCUCCUAUAAGACUGGGCUAACUUCGGGAAACCGGAGCUAAACCGGAUAAUUAUAGAUGGAUCCGCGCUGCAUUAGCUAGUUGGUAAGUUAACGGCUUCCCAGGGCAACGAUCCAUAGCCGACCUGGGCGGUUGAUCGGCCACACUGGAACUGAGACACGGUCCAGACUCCUACGGGAGGCAGCAGUAGGGAAUAUUCCGCAAUGGGCGAAAGCCUGACGGAGCAACGCCGCGUGAGUGAUGAAGGCCUUCGGAUCGUAAAACUCUGUUAGCAGGGAAGCGGUACCUAAACAGAAAGCCACGGCUAACUACGUGCCAGCAGCCGCGGUAAUAC
RNAcentral lists this ribosomal RNA (405 nucleotides) under uncultured bacterium. RNAcentral describes it as "partial 16S ribosomal RNA". It matches the Rfam family "Bacterial small subunit ribosomal RNA", at positions 28 to 526 of the family's 1533-position model. The record is from RNAcentral.